This 252-nucleotide ribosomal RNA is filed under the name uncultured bacterium. Its description in RNAcentral is "partial 16S ribosomal RNA". It matches the Rfam family "Bacterial small subunit ribosomal RNA", at positions 524 to 776 of the family's 1533-position model. The record is from RNAcentral.
UACGAGGGGGCGAGCGUUGUUCGGAAUUAUUGGGCGUAAAGGGUGCGUAGGCGGUUUGGUAAGUCUGAUGUGAAAUCUAUGGGCUCAACUCAUAGUCUGCAUCGGAAACUGCCGGGCUUGAGUGUGGGAGAGGUGAGUGGAAUUCCUGGUGUAGCGGUGAAGUGCGUAGAUAUCAGGAGGAACACCUGUGGCGAAAGCGGCUCACUGGACCAUAACUGACGCUGAUGCACGAAAGCUAGGGGAGCAAACAGG